AACGCACGAGACCUGCGGACCUGCGGAAGGAUCAUUAAAACAUUGUCCACAAACAUGGAUAAUUAAUAUCCAUAUCCACCUUGUGUGAACUAUUGACAUGUAAGUUGGCAGGUGAAACCUACACAUAGUGUGUGGGGGAUGUCAGUCAAGUUCGACUGAUUUCAUUGAAGAGUUUUCUUCGGCCUGCCAAUAUUUUAGUCUAUACGCGUCUAUUGUAAAACAUUUGACUAAAAUUAUAUU
Molecule: unclassified non-coding RNA, 240 nt
Filed under: soil metagenome
Description: partial contains 5.8S ribosomal RNA, internal transcribed spacer 2, and large subunit ribosomal RNA
Source: RNAcentral